This is a long non-coding RNA of Cygnus olor (mute swan), 3018 nucleotides long. RefSeq lists it as uncharacterized. NCBI's taxonomy places the organism in Eukaryota, Metazoa, Chordata, Aves, Anseriformes, Anatidae. The record is from RefSeq and is a predicted model, not a curated record. The transcript has 3 exons.
AGCUCUUAGAGGUUUUAGUUACAGAGACUCCCAUCACUAUUAACAUGCAGGCACAAGAAAGUGAAGAGGUGAAUUCUAAAAGAGACAACAGACUUCAAUAACCCACUAGAUGUGUUGUGACAAAUUUCAUGAACCUAAACCCAAAUUAUGUUUGAAGAACAAAAGUGAAUUAUGGCUGACAAAUGGAGUGAGUAAAUCCUGAGUGAACCUUGUCCGGGGUCUGCUCUUUGAGUAAUGUCUCAACAGGAUAACUUGAAGGAGUGCAGGAAAACAUUUCUGUAAGAUUCUAAGCAGGACUUCCUGUGAAACCUCCUGGGAAGACCUGGCUAAUACCAGAUCAGCUAUGGUUUAUUUAGUUAAAUCUUGCAUCACUUCAAGGAUGGUUUCCUUUGUGCUGACCUGAUCUGAAACCACACCAUCCAACUGAAAUGUUUUCUGUAAAAUCAGUUCUGCACCUCCCAAGAUAAAUUUGAUGUUAUAUUAAUCAGUGUUUGUAACAGGACCAUAAUAUAAUUACGGUAUUCCUUCUUGUUGACACUAUAUUUCUCUUAAAGUUUUCAUGUUUUUGUUGAAAACUGUUCUUGAAAACACCCCCCCUUGAACUGGAUGCUCGUACUCAAAUAUGUCAGCCAAUAUCAAGGGUGUUUAGCAAAUGCUGAGCAGUUUAUACAGAAUGUGGGGAGUUAAGUUUGGAAAUUUUAUAUCAUUCUUUGUAUGCCUGGUCCUCCCCAGACGCAUACCAGGUCCAAAGGUAAUGCAGCUAUGGAUAUAGGAGAAAUACCUGGGAUGCCACUAUUCAAAGGGUGAGAGGGAUUUACUGUGGAUGGGUUAUCGAAGUGCUUGUUUUCUCCAAAGAGGAAUGACUGUUCCCAGUUUGAAACAUCACAGCUGGUGGGUGAAUCUAACCAUCCAUCUCCCAUCAAAGUCAAUGUGAGUCAUCCAGCUGGAGUCCUCCUGCCUUUCUCUGAGAGGCUGAAGCAUUGUCACUGCCUUCUAUAGGGAAGAAGACUGGGCAAGCUGACAUGAAGAUAAAUAGCUAGAGUUUCUUCAGUCAGGUAAAUGAGGACACUAUUUCUUGAAAUUUGUUAGUUCCAUGAUCUGAUACACCAGCAGGCUUCAGAGGCUCAGGGGGCUCCUCAAGCAACUCUCUGACAAUCUGAUUCCUUGGUACCUGUGGUGUGCUGGCAAGCAAAGAUGGAACAACACAGCAGACAGUUUGGCUGUCAAGAAUCUCCUAGAGGAGAAAAUCAUGAUGCAUAGACACAGUCUCCUAUGCACUUCAGUAGGACUGUGUGGGAGAGGAAAAAAAUAUUUUUUCAGAGCUAUCAACAGUAUCUUUGUGGAAAAACCCUGAACUUGAGGUUACCUAGAAGCAUUUUUGAACCAUUUUCCUUUUAGCUGUUUGAUGCGUAUUCAUAUUUAUUGGUUUCUACAAUCCAUAAACAGAUAAAGGAAAAUACCUGGAUACCGGCUAUUUCCAUCAAAUGUUGAGUGUUAAAAAUAACCAGUGAAAAUGAGCCCUUAUAUCUUGUGAGCUGACUGAGGUUUAUUUUGUGAGCAUUUGUGGAGAUGGACAAAGGCUCUGAGGUUUUUAGCCUCCCCCUGUUCUUAUUAGCUGUGCAAAUCCACUGCGUGACUGCUAAAUGCAUCCAAAGGAAGUUUUGUCUGGGCAUCUUCUGCUAAAUUCCUGGCAGCCUGUGCUCCUCUAAUAACCAAUAUCUCCCUGUGUUGCCAAACACACAGGUUUAUGAUGUUGCAGGGAAAGAUCUGUAAGGCUGUAAUCUUGUGCAUGACCAACAGGACCUCAGCAUGGCUCUGAGCACUAGCACUGACCUGCACUGGUGUUGCCACAAGCCCACAGCAGCAGAAGACAGUUUCCGUCUUCAGAAAGCAUGAUAUUCAGUUUUUGCUCUCAAAACAGGCAGGUGUUGUCACCACCUUAGUGUAAGUCACAACACAGGGCCAUGAAGAUGUUCCUGAAACAGCUAGAACAGCUGCUGGGAGCAGCUGUACCACCACCAGCACACUGUGGGCACUCAGGAGGCACUCAGAUGGACCAUUCUGGUGUCUGAGCUGCUCCAGAUCCCUCUAAAAACCAAAGCUUGGGGCCAGGGGAACAGACCUUCAACAUCAGGGCCAGUAUAAGAAAACACUGACGUUUCCCCUAGCGUGGACACCAAGAAGGGUGGUGAUAUCCUGUGAUGCAAUAUCCCUGAAGGGAUGCCGUGUUUCCAAAGGCUUAAAUGAUGUUCAGCCAUGCCUGCCCAUGACCCUGCCCCUGUCCUGCUGAGCAGGGCAAGGGGAGAGGGUGGUUCCUCUCACCUCCCACUGCCAGCCCUAAUUGCUGGGUCUCUCCCUGGCUUCUGUUAGCAGAUGGCACUUCUCAUUUAGCUAAACAAUUUACCAUGAAGUCUUCUUAUUUCAGAUCAAACCACUAGCUAACAUCAAGCAAUUACUGUGUUUGCUUCUAUACUUAUUUAAAAAACACUUCAUUAGGAUGUUAGCAUUUAGACCUUUGGAGAUGCAUGACAUCAGCUGUCAUGGGGAGCAAAGACCCUGCGUAAACAGAAGAUUCAUCCCCUGAGCAAGAGCGAUGCUCCACUUUAUUAAUAAAAGUGUGAAGCAUGGUAUAAUUCACCCGCCCACCCUGCCAGAGAUUUAACAACACAACACUUCAGUCAGCAGAAAAGACAGACACGAUAUUUUCCAAAUUGAUAGAAUAUCUAUUGAAAACCUAUUUAGACACUUUAAUGGGAUAACAGGAGCACAGUGCCAAUCUGUGGAGGAGGAGAGCUCAUCAGAAACUUUAAUACUUCCAUAUGCAAAAGAAAAUAUAAUUUGCAGAGUUUCCUUCCUAGUUUCAUCCAUCUGCCUCACCAUGCUAUUCCUUUUUGUCUCUUAUUUAUGGCUGUAAUUUUGAUGCCACAGUUAGUGUACAUGAGCUGCUGUAUAUUUCUGUUAUUUGCUUUGAAAUUGCCCUUUUCAGCUCAUAUCUGAAGUCAUUUAUUUGCCCACAAA